This 497-nucleotide ribosomal RNA is filed under the name uncultured bacterium. RNAcentral's name for it is "partial 16S ribosomal RNA". It matches the Rfam family "Bacterial small subunit ribosomal RNA", at positions 28 to 507 of the family's 1533-position model. The record is from RNAcentral.
GAUGAACGCUGGCGGCGUGCCUAAUACAUGCAAGUCGAGCGAACAGACGAGGAGCUUGCUCCUCUGACGUUAGCGGCGGACGUGUGAGUAACACGUGGAUAACCUACCGAUAAGACUGGGAUAACGUCGGGAAACCUGAGCUAAUACCGUAUAAUAUAUUGAACCGCAUGGUUCAAUAGUGAAAGACGGUUUUGCUGUCACUUAUAGAUGGAUCCGCGCCGCAUUAGCUAGUUGGUAAGGUAACGGCUUACCAAGGCAACGAUGCGUAGCCGACCUGAGAGGGUGAUCGGCCACACUGGAACUGAGACACGGUCCAGACUCCUCCGGGAGGCAGCAGUAGGGAAUCUUCCGCAAUGGGCGAAAGCUUGACGGAGCAACGCCGCGUGAGUGAUGAAGGUCUUCGGAUCGUAAAACUCUGUUAUUAGGGAAGAACAAAUGUGUAAGUAACUAUGCACGUCUUGACGGUACCUAAUCAGAAAGCCACGGCUAACUACGUG